RNAcentral lists this ribosomal RNA (301 nucleotides) under uncultured bacterium. RNAcentral describes it as "partial 16S ribosomal RNA". It matches the Rfam family "Bacterial small subunit ribosomal RNA", at positions 509 to 807 of the family's 1533-position model. The record is from RNAcentral.
CAGCCGCCACGGUAAUACGAAGGGUGCAAGCGUUAAUCGGAAUUACUGGGCGUAAAGCGUGCGUAGGUGGUGGUUUAAGUCCGUUGUGAAAGCCCUGGGCUCAACCUGGGAAUUGCAGUGGAUACUGGAUCACUAGAGUGUGGUAGAGGAUAGUGGAAUUUCCGGUGUAGCAGUGAAAUGCGUAGAGAUCGGAAGGAACAUCUGUGGCGAAGGCGACUAUCUGGGCCAACACUGACACUGAGGCACGAAAGCGUGGGGAGCAAACAGGAUUAGAUACCCGGGUAGUCCCUGUCUCUUAUAC